CUUUUGUGCUGAGUCGUUCUAAUUCUCGUCUCCCGCUCCCCUUCAAUAAACUUCACGAUCAUCGUCGUCGUCUUCAGUGCUGUUGAGUUUGAGCAUCUAAAGGGAUCAUCAAGUGGGAUGUCUACUAAAAGUGAAAUAGGCCUGUGUAUCUGCACAUCUUAUACUGGCUUUACUAGCAGAAGAGCCAACUGGAAAGAAUAUAGUGCAAUGGUUGCUGAGUUUGAAGGGCUGAAACUAGGCAUGAUGAAUUCAUGUAGAGUUCCAAAAUGUGACAUUCAGAGUGCAGAAUUCAUGGCUGAAUCUGUUGUGUUCGACGAGAUAAAGAACUGGUCCUUGGUUUGUCUGGUUCCUCGAAUCAUUCUAUAUCCACACUGCAGAUCAAAACUUGGUAGCAUGCCAGUGAACGAGCUGAAGGCUGAAACCCUACAGAGCCGAUCCUGGGAUAGAUUACCGGAAACACUCAGCUGCUUGCCUUUCUGAUUCCUCAAGAACAACACAAAAAGAUUGAGUGGUUUCAGAUACUUAGUAGGUUUUCCCUUUCGUUUCUUUUUUUCUCUUUUUUGCUUCAAACUCGAAUUUGGCACCAAAUUGUCGUUUCAUCCAAAUGUAUAGCAUAUCAGACCUUUGUAGCAAGUUCAGCACAAGAAAGAUUAUUACAAUACAGCAGUACAAAACUUCCAA
Molecule: non-coding RNA, 681 nt
Organism: Musa acuminata subsp. malaccensis (wild Malaysian banana)
Lineage: Eukaryota; Viridiplantae; Streptophyta; Magnoliopsida; Zingiberales; Musaceae
Source: RefSeq, a predicted model, not a curated record